UACGAAGGGGGCUAGCGUUGCUCGGAAUCACUGGGCGUAAAGCGCACGUAGGCGGAUCUUUAAGUCAGGGGUGAAAUCCUGGAGCUCAACUCCAGAACUGCCUUUGAUACUGGGGAUCUCGAGUCCGGAAGAGGUGAGUGGAACUCCGAGUGUAGAGGUGAAAUUCGUAGAAAUUCGGAAGAACACCAGUUGCGAAGGCGGCUCUCUGGACCAGCACUGACACUGAGGCACGAAAGCGUGGGGAGCAAACAGG
Molecule: ribosomal RNA, 253 nt
Filed under: uncultured bacterium
Lineage: Bacteria
Description: partial 16S ribosomal RNA
Rfam family: Bacterial small subunit ribosomal RNA
Source: RNAcentral